This 490-nucleotide ribosomal RNA is filed under the name uncultured bacterium. RNAcentral's name for it is "bacterial SSU rRNA". It matches the Rfam family "Bacterial small subunit ribosomal RNA", at positions 28 to 507 of the family's 1533-position model. The record is from RNAcentral.
GAUGAACGCUAGCUACAGGCUUAACACAUGCAAGUCGCGGGGCAGCAUUUUCUUAGCUUGCUAAGGAAGAUGGCGACCGGCGCACGGGUGAGUAACGCGUAUCCAACCUUCCCAUGUCCACGGGAUAGCCCGUCGAAAGGCGGAUUAAUACCGUAUGAGGUCACAUGCGGGCAUCUAAUUGUGACGAAAGGUUUAGCGGACAUGGAUGGGGAUGCGUCCGAUUAGCUAGUUGGCGGGGUAACGGCCCACCAAGGCGACGAUCGGUAGGGGUUCUGAGAGGAAGGUCCCCCACAUUGGAACUGAGACACGGUCCAAACUCCUACGGGAGGCAGCAGUGAGGAAUAUUGGUCAAUGGACGCAAGUCUGAACCAGCCAAGUAGCGUGCAGGAUGACGGCCCUAUGGGUUGUAAACUGCUUUUAUGCGGGGAUAAAGUUAGGGAUGUAUCCCUUUUUGCAGGUACCGCAUGAAUAAGGACCGGCUAAUUCCGUG